AUUCUGGAUGUAGAAAAUGUUCUUUCAUUUUCGUGGAAUUGUUAAGAAAGCAUGCAAAGGCUUCUUCAAUUUGGGCACAUUAGGUUUAUAGCUGCGAUUUUGUUAUAACAUUAAAACAAGCCUCAGGAUGGAUGCGUCAUCUACAGACACUUCUUAUAUGGAAAUCUCAUCAAUCCUAGGAAUUCAUUAACUUCUCAGAACUGGUCAUCCUGACCGUGUAACUGGAUGCAGCCAUGUGAAUAGUUUUGGCCAGUGAGCUGUGAGGAGGAGAUGAGGCAUGAAAAUUUCUGGCUGACACAAAAUUCUCCAAAGCUCUUUACCUAUGUCACUGGGACCAGCAAUUUUCCAGAGAAAUGGGCCCUGCAAUUUGGAUCCAGAGUAAGAACAAUUCAGAACAAAGAACCACCUUGAUUCACAAUAGACAGGUAAUAUGAAUGAGAAAUUUUCUUAUAGUAUUUUAAGCCUCUUAGAUUUGGGAAACAAUCUGGCACAGCAGCAUAACAUUUUUCCUGACUGAUAUAAAAAUAGUUGAUUCUUGUGGGGAAGUAAGAUUGAAGUAGAAUAUCCUUUCUGAAAAGAACUUUUUCUCACCAUAUAUUUAAGGUUGAACAAGGAAUUUACAGAUUAUGACUCUUUGUAGAUUAUAUAAAUCUUGUUUCAGAUAAUAACACGAUAGAGUUAAAAUUAGCUGUUUUCAUUCCUAGGUGAGUGUGGGAUGGAGAUGGUUAUAUAAUUUUGUGAACAAAGUUGUUUAUAAAAUUGACCUUAUAAAGCUGCUUACAGCUGACAAUAGCUCUUAUAUUUCAUGUUUAUAUUGUAAGUCAGUAUAUCACUAGGUGAAAUACUGUUUAUUUGCAUCUGAAAUUUCUUUUAAAGAUGCUUCCUAUAUCAAGGUAUAGUACGAUCAACAUGGACACUUACCUGAGCAUCCACACUGAGUGAAUAUGAUCUGGGCUGUUUGCGGAAUUCUUUCACAGUAGCUCUAUCCAGGAGAUGUUCAUCCACAGAGAGACAAAAUAAAAGGGUGUCUCAAGGUUAGAACAUUCAUCCUCCUUAGCUAGAGUACAGAUAAAGUAGAUUUCUCUCCUAUAUGAGUGCUCUCUGAAAGCAUUACUAUUGCUUCAUCUCUAUUCAUGAGAACUUUAAAAGACAAAUUCUAGAAAGAAGUUGUCUUUCUUUACAUUGGCUUCUUUAAGGCUCAAAGACUUGGAAUUCAGGACAGAAUGAAAAGCAUUUCAAAUACCGUAUCUACUGGCAUUGGAGGAAAAAAAGGUUUUAUUCCCCCAUGAAUUGUCAUAGAAGGAAAUGAAACUUGCUAAAAACAUAUCUGCUAUAAAACUAUAACAGAAAAGAAAAAAGAAUACUAUUUUUCUGAACUUUAUCAUUGUAAUCUUUCUAUGAAUUCUAUUAAACUGAGAUCCCUGCAGAAAUGACAUAAUUGGCCAAUAUAUUUGUGGUGUAGGUUGCAUAAAUUUAUAGAAAUUAUUAUGGUCAGUGCUGUGAAAUGAUUUAGUUGUUGCCUUUCACUUACUUUCUUCUUUCAAUGUAACUAAGCACACAACAAACUCUUUAAAACCUGUGCAACAAGGGGAAAUGAGUAUAAUAUGACUGGGAAUUUUGAAAUAAAAAUUUGUAAGAGAUCAGCACUGGUUUAUCCAAACAUUUAUCCUAUUAGUGCUUUCUGGUGUAACAAUUAGAGGUAUUAAAAGUUCUAAUAUUACUUGAUAGACAUUUGCAUGUUUGGAAUAGUAAAUAUGGUAAAAUGUUGCAAGUUACUGCCUCAUAUUCAUUAGUAUUAAAUAUUUGUGAGGGGUAAUUAUCUUGAAUUUCUAAUAGAGAACAAUAAGUACAAGUAUUUUUAUUCUAACACACAUUUUACAGCAUUGGGCACUUAUGGUUUCAUAGUUUCAGUAGGUUAAAAUAAUACUAAUUUAAAACAAAAUAGGUAGAAGUAUUAAAUACAUCUAUAUAUACUGAACUAAAGGAAGAUCUAUAAUCUUAGGAAAAAUUUAAAAUAAAAGUUCAAAUUAAUGGACAUAGUAUGAUCUGAUUCUCAUAAAAGUAAUGUAAUCUAUAUAUAUCACGUAUCAUACAUUAUAUGUAUAUGUUAUAUAUUAUAUACAAAUCUGUAUAGCUAUAGAUGAUACAUGUUCGUACAUAUAGGGACCAAAGUAGUGGUUA
Canis lupus familiaris (dog) is the source of this 2181-nucleotide long non-coding RNA. RefSeq lists it as uncharacterized. The record is from RefSeq and is a predicted model, not a curated record. Lineage: Eukaryota; Metazoa; Chordata; Mammalia; Carnivora; Canidae. The transcript is spliced from 3 exons.